Molecule: non-coding RNA, 89 nt
Filed under: Streptomyces nodosus
Lineage: Bacteria; Bacillati; Actinomycetota; Actinomycetes; Kitasatosporales; Streptomycetaceae
Description: sodF sRNA
Rfam family: sodF sRNA
About the family: Identified in Streptomyces coelicolor. It is produced from sodF mRNA by cleavage of about 90 nucleotides from its 3'UTR.
Source: Rfam by way of RNAcentral
GCGUCCUGCUCGUGAUCGUCUUCUCACCCUUCACGUGGCAGGCGGAAAAAGGGGCGGCCCCGCGAGGACCAGACUCGCGGGGCCGUUCC